GAUGAACGCUGGCGGCGUGCCUAACACAUGCAAGUCGAGCGAGGGUUUGCUCAGUAUUGAGUAUUCUAAGUCUAGAAUGUUCAAUUCUGAGCAAAACCAAGCGGCGGACGGGUGAGUAACGCGUGGGUAACCUGCCCUAUACACAUGGAUAACAUACUGAAAAGUUUACUAAUACAUGAUAAUAUAUAUUUGUGGCAUCGCAGAUAUAUCAAAGUGUUAGCGGUAUAGGAUGGACCCGCGUCUGAUUAGCUAGUUGGUGAGAUAACUGCCCACCAAGGCGACGAUCAGUAGCCGACCUGAGAGGGUGAUCGGCCACAUUGGAACUGAGACACGGUCCAAACUCCUACGGGAGGCAGCAGUGGGGAAUAUUGCACAAUGGGCGAAAGCCUGAUGCAGCAACGCCGCGUGAACGAUGAAGGUCUUCGGAUCGUAAAGUUCUGUUGCAGGGGAAGAUAAUGGCG
RNAcentral lists this ribosomal RNA (461 nucleotides) under Peptostreptococcus stomatis. RNAcentral's name for it is "bacterial SSU rRNA". It matches the Rfam family "Bacterial small subunit ribosomal RNA", at positions 28 to 456 of the family's 1533-position model. The record is from RNAcentral. Lineage: Bacteria; Bacillati; Bacillota; Clostridia; Peptostreptococcales; Peptostreptococcaceae.